CCGUAACUAUAACGGUCCUAAGGUAGCGAAAUUCCUUGUCGGGUAAGUUCCGACCUGCACGAAUGGCGUAAUGAUGGCCAGGCUGUCUCCACCCGAGACUCAGUGAAAUUGAACUCGCUGUGAAGAUGCAGUGUACCCGCGGCAAGACGGAAAGACCCCGUGAACCUUUACUAUAGCUUGACACUGAACACUGGUCCUUGAUGUGUAGGAUAGGUGGGAGGCUUUGAAGCGUGGACGCCAGUCUGCGUGGAGCCAACCUUGAAAUACCACCCUUUAAUGGCUGGUGUUCUAACGUAGACCCGUAAUCCGGGUUGCGGACAGUGUCUGGUGGGUAGUUUGACUGGGGCGGUCUCCUCCCAAAGAGUAACGGAGGAGCACGAAGGUUAGCUAAUCCUGGUCGGACAUCAGGAGGUUAGUGCAAUGGCAUAAGCUAGCUUGACUGCGAGCGUGACGGCGCGAGCAGGUGCGAAAGCAGGUCAUAGUGAUCCGGUGGUUCUGAAUGGAAGGGCCAUCGCUCAACGGAUAAAAGGUACUCCGGGGAUAACAGGCUGAUACCGCCCAAGAGUUCAUAUCGACGGCGGUGUUUGGCACCUCGAUGUCGGCUCAUCACAUCCUGGGGCUGAAGUAGGUCCCAAGGGUAUGGCUGUUCGCCAUUUAAAGUGGUACGCGAGCUGGGUUUAGAACGUCGUGAGACAGUUCGGUCCCUAUCUGCCGUGGGCGCUGGAGAAUUGAGGGGGGCUGCUCCUAGUACGAGAGGACCGGAGUGGACGCAUCACUGGUGUUCGGGUUGUCAUGCCAAUGGCACUGCCCGGUAGCUAAAUGCGGAAGAGAUAAGUGCUGAAAGCAUCUAAGCACGAAACUUGCCCCGAGAUGAGUUCUCCCUGAGACUUUAAGUCUCCUGAAGGAACGUUGAAGACGACGACGUUGAUAGGUCGGGUGUGUAAGCGCAGCGAUGCGUUGAGCUAACCGAUACUAAUGAACCGUGAGGCUUAACCUU
RNAcentral lists this ribosomal RNA (997 nucleotides) under human gut metagenome. RNAcentral describes it as "bacterial LSU rRNA". It matches the Rfam family "Bacterial large subunit ribosomal RNA", at positions 1934 to 2925 of the family's 2925-position model. The record is from RNAcentral.